RNAcentral lists this ribosomal RNA (696 nucleotides) under uncultured bacterium. RNAcentral's name for it is "bacterial SSU rRNA". It matches the Rfam family "Bacterial small subunit ribosomal RNA", at positions 170 to 882 of the family's 1533-position model. The record is from RNAcentral.
CGCAUAAGCCCACGGCUCGGCAUCGAGCAGAGGGAAAAGGAGCAAUCCGCUUUGAGAUGGCCUCGCGUCCGAUUAGCUAGUUGGUGAGGUAAUGGCCCACCAAGGCGACGAUCGGUAGCCGGACUGAGAGGUUGAACGGCCACAUUGGGACUGAGACACGGCCCAGACUCCUACGGGAGGCAGCAGUGGGGAAUAUUGCACAAUGGGGGAAACCCUGAUGCAGCGACGCCGCGUGGAGGAAGAAGGUCUUCGGAUUGUAAACUCCUGUUGUUGAGGAAGAUAAUGACGGUACUCAACAAGGAAGUGACGGCUAACUACGUGCCAGCAGCCGCGGUAAAACGUAGGUCACAAGCGUUGUCCGGAAUUACUGGGUGUAAAGGGAGCGCAGGCGGGAGAACAAGUUGGAAGUGAAAUCCAUGGGCUCAACCCAUGAACUGCUUUCAAAACUGUUUUUCUUGAGUAGUGCAGAGGUAGGCGGAAUUCCCGGUGUAGCGGUGGAAUGCGUAGAUAUCGGGAGGAACACCAGUGGCGAAGGCGGCCUACUGGGCACCAACUGACGCUGAGGCUCGAAAGUGUGGGUAGCAAACAGGAUUAGAUACCCUGGUAGUCCACACCGUAAACGAUGAUUACUAGGUGUUGGAGGAUUGACCCCUUCAGUGCCGCAGUUAACACAAUAAGUAAUCCACCUGGGGAGUA